CCUACGGGAGGCAGCAGUGGGGAAUAUUGGGCAAUGGAGGCAACUCUGACCCAGCAACGCCGCGUGAAUGAUGAAGGUCUUCGGAGUUGAAAGCUCUUUGUGGGGGGAUGAACACAAUGACGGUACCCCAAUAGCAAGCCACGGCUAACUACGGGCCAGCAGCCGCGGUAAUACGUAGGGGGCAAGCGUUAUCCGGAAUGACUGGGCGUAAAGGGUGCGUAGGUGGUUUAGUAAGUUGGCGGUGUAAUUCCGGGGCUCAACCUCGGCGCUACCGCCAAAACUAUUAGACCAGAGUGCAGGAGGGGUAAGUGGAAUUCCUAGUGUAGCGGUGGAAUGCGUAGAUAUUAGGAAGAACAUCAGGGGCGAAGGCGGCUUACUGGACUGUAACUGACACUGAGGCACGAAAGCGUGGGGAGCGAACAGGAUUAGAUACCCUAGUAGUC
RNAcentral lists this ribosomal RNA (443 nucleotides) under uncultured bacterium. RNAcentral's name for it is "partial 16S ribosomal RNA". It matches the Rfam family "Bacterial small subunit ribosomal RNA", at positions 338 to 795 of the family's 1533-position model. The record is from RNAcentral.